ACUCUGAGUAUGACAAGAUUCUUCUUCACAAGAUCAAUGACUUUCAGAGAGAUGAGUGUUUCAUUGUCAUCUUUGAUCUGAUUAUUGAGAAGAAAAUCAGUUUUCUUCACAAGUUCAAUCAUCUCAAUGUUGAACUCUCUCAUACUCAUCAUGUCUGCUACAUCAUCAUCAAUAUUGAUGCCCUUGACCAUAUCCAGAAACACUGUGGUGUAUGUUAUUUUCAGUGUGUAAUCAGUCACUUCAGACAGACUUGCAUCUUCUAUAUCUGUCUCAAGAAUUUCAUCUUCAAGCACAUUGACCUUGAACAUAGCACCAUCAUUUCCACUACCAGCAGUAACUAUACCAC
This 346-nucleotide small RNA is filed under the name Histoplasma ohiense. RNAcentral's name for it is "hypothetical lncRNA". The record is from RNAcentral. Lineage: Eukaryota; Fungi; Ascomycota; Eurotiomycetes; Onygenales; Ajellomycetaceae.